This 253-nucleotide ribosomal RNA is filed under the name uncultured bacterium. RNAcentral describes it as "partial 16S ribosomal RNA". It matches the Rfam family "Bacterial small subunit ribosomal RNA", at positions 524 to 776 of the family's 1533-position model. The record is from RNAcentral.
UACGGAGGGUGCAAGCGUUAUCCGGAUUCACUGGGUUUAAAGGGUGCGUAGGUGGGUUGGUAAGUCAGUGGUGAAAUCUCCGAGCUUAACUUGGAAACUGCCAUUGAUACUAUCAAUCUUGAAUAUUGUGGAGGUCAGCGGAAUAUGCCAUGUAGCGGUGAAAUGCUUAGAUAUGACAUAGAACACCAAUUGCGAAGGCAGCUGGCUACACAAAUAUUGACACUGAGGCACGAAAGCGUGGGGAUCAAACAGG